GGCUCGUUGGUCUAGGGGUAUGAUUCUCGCUUCGGGUGCGAGAAGUACCGGGUUCAAUUCCCGGACGAGCCC
Non-coding RNA from Ciona savignyi (Pacific transparent sea squirt), 72 nucleotides. The record is from Rfam. NCBI's taxonomy places the organism in Eukaryota, Metazoa, Chordata, Ascidiacea, Phlebobranchia, Cionidae.